GAUGAAGAACGUAGCGAAAUGCGAUAAGUAGUGUGAAUUGCAGAAUUCAGUGAAUCAUCGAAUCUUUGAACGCACAUUGCGCCCCUCGGUAUUCCGUGGGGCAUGCCUGUUCGAGCGUCAUUUAACCCCUCAAGCCUAGCUUGGUAUUGGGUGCUUGUCCCGCCUCUCGCGCGGCGACUCACCUCAAAGUCAUUGGCAGCCCUCAUCUCGCCGGCCGUGAGUGCAGCACAGACGCGCUCUUGGCAACGACGGAUCGGCUCUCCAAAAGCUUAUUUCAACCACUGACCUCGGAUCAGGUAGGGAUACCCGCUGAACUUAAGCAUAUCAAUAAGCGGAGGA
Molecule: unclassified non-coding RNA, 339 nt
Filed under: soil metagenome
Description: partial contains 5.8S ribosomal RNA, internal transcribed spacer 2, and large subunit ribosomal RNA
Rfam family: 5.8S ribosomal RNA (bases 1-120)
Source: RNAcentral